AUAUAAUUAAUAAAAACUUUUCUCUUUCUCUUCUUUCCUAUUUGAUGAAUACACAUUUACUCUUCUUUCCUUUCUAAUGUUUUUUCUCUAGAAUUGUAAAUCGAAGAGAGGAAGUUGAAGAUCGAAGUGACGAAGCUGAAGAAAUGAAGAGCUGAGCUGAUGAAAUGAAGAGCUGAGCUGAAGAUUCUCUUCUCCAGAACCCAAAUUACUUGAAGAGAUGACGAGCUGAAGCUGAAGAUCUGGGAUCGAAGAACUGAAAAGCGUAAGCUGAAGACUCGAUUUUUUCAAGCGUUGGAUGAUCAGGGAGAUUUAGGCAUCUUGGUUAAUCUGUUAGCCUGAUUGCUUUUGAGGAUCGCUUCACUUUAAUUGAACAAGAAAUAGAAACAGUGAUCAAGAAAAUCACUCCAAAGAUAGAUCAAGUUAUAUAUUAUCAAUGAGUUGUUAGUUGUGGUUGAUGGUGCUGCCAGUGGAAGUAUAAUCAACAUUCAAAAACUUUUGUGGAGAAUUCAAGGUUUGAUUUGGCAUAACACAAGUGUCAUGACGAGGAAUUCAAAUAUCCCAUCCAAGGAUUGGAUGGAUUUAGCAGGGUAUAGCAAACCAUAUAUUGAUGGUGUUGAAUCAUUCCUAAUUCAAAUAUCCCAUCCAAGGAUUGGAUGGAUUUAGCAAGGUAUAGAAAACCAUAUCUUGAUGGUGUUGAAUCAUUCCUAAAUUUUGCUUACUCUUGUGGAGAUCCUCAUGGAGAGGAAAUUCAGUGUCCAUGUGCAAAAUCUUGUAACAUUCAUUGGACUUGAAGGAAUGUAGUGUAUGAUCAUCUAAUAUGCUAUGGAUUUGUUAAAGGUUAUACUAGAUGGAUCAAUCACGGGGAAUGGGAUAUAAAGUUGAAUGUUGAAGAUGAUAUGGAUUGCUCGCGUGAUGACAUUGAUGGAUUGUUGAAUGAUCAAUUUAGAGAUGUUGCACAGGCUAAAGUAGCGUGAUGACAUUGAUGGAUUGUUGAAUGAUCAAUUUAGAGAUGUUGCACAGGUAGCUUAUGAUGGUCCAAAUGAAGAUGCCAAGAAAUACUAUAACUUAGUUGAAGAGGCAAGCCAAGAAUUAUAUCCUGGUUGUACAGAUUCUCUAAAUUAUCACUCACACUUCUAUAUUUGUAGAAGUGUCUACAUGGAUGGAUCAAUGAAUCAUUCACUUCUCUUUUAAAGUUAUUAAAAGAGGCGAUGCCAAGUUGAACAUUCCUUCGUCUUACAAUAAAACCAAGUCUAUGGUUAAGAAUCUCGUCCUUGAUUAUGAGAAAAAUGAUGCAUGUCCAAAUGAUUGCAUGUUGUUUAGGAAUGAUCAUAAGGAUGAUGAAUUUUGUCAUACUGGCGGAGCUUCACUAUAUAUUAAAAAUCCUGAAGUUGAUGGUGAGGUUGAGUCUUCUAAAAGAUCACAUCGACUUUCAGCAAAGACUUUGAGACACUUUCCAUUAAUUCAAAGACUCAAAAGGUUAUUUAUGUGCUCAAAGACAGCAGAUUCUUUGAGGUGGCAUGACGAGGAGCGUUCAAAAGAUGAAAGUGAAGGCAUCCCACUGAUGGUCAAGCAUGGAAAGAUUUUGAUAGGUUUCAUCCAAAUUUUGCUUUAGAUUCUCGCAAUGUGAGACUUGGAUUAGUAAGUGAUGGGUUCAAUCCAUUUCGAACCAUGAGUAUAUCUCAUAGCACAUGGCCAGUUAUGUUGAUGGCGUAUGAUAUGCCGCCUUGGAUGUGCAUAAAAAUCUGAAUAUUCUAUACUUUCUUUACUUAUACCUGGACCACGAUCACCUGAAAAUGACAUUGAUAUUUACUUACAACCAUUGAUAGAUGAGUUAAAAUUGUUGUGGGAUUCUGGGGUUGAAACAUAUGAUGCUUCAAGAAAUCAAACUUUUCAAAUUCGAACAGCUCCUAUUUGGACAAUCAAUGACUUUCCUGUGUAUGCUAUGUUGUCUAGAUGGAGUACAAAAGGAAAGUUUGCUUGCCCUUGUUUAACUAUAACACUAAUUCUUGAUAUCUUAAGCAUAGCCGGAAAAUUUGUUAUAUGGAUCAUCGUGUUUUUCUACCCAUGGAUCAUCCAUAGAGAUCUAACAAAAGAUCUUUCAAUGGAAAAACUGAAUUCAGGCCUCCUCCACUUUUAUUAAAGGGAACUGAUGUGCUUAAUAGCUUACAAGAUUUUGAAAAUGUGUUUGGAAAGAAGAUAAAGAGAUCAAAUGAUGGCCCAUGGAAAAAAGGUCAAUUUUUUUUAAUCACCUUAUUGGUAGCACAACUUGUUACUCCACAACCUUGAUGUAGGAAGAACACAGUUGAUAGCAUUCUUGGAACUCUUUUGGAUAUUCCUGGCAAAACAAAGGAUCAUGCAAAAGCCCGAUAUGAUUUGAAAGAGAUGGGAAUUAGAAAGAAUCUUCAUCCAAAAGAUACUGGAGAUAACAAGAGAACAAAGUUUGCAAAAGCUUGCUUCUCAAUGACAAAUGGAGAGAAAUCAAUAUUUGUGGAGUUUUAAAGACAGUCAAGCUACCUGAUGGCAGUGCCUCCAAUAUAUCUAGGUGUGUGCAACUGGAUGAAAGGAAAUUGUCUGGUUAUAAGACUAAUGAUGCUCAUUUCAUGUUACAUUACUUACUUCCAAUACCCAUUAAAAGCAUCCUUCCAGAUCAUAUGGCUAUUGCUUUGAUUCGUCUAUAUUGAAAUCAUUUUCUUACUUGUUGAAAGUGUAGAAAAACUCUUCAACAAGUUCUUUAACUUUACCACCACAAAUGGUGCAAAACUCAUUUUUGAUUGAGAAAAAACUCCAUAUUGAUUGUUCAUGCUACUAUAUUCACUGGUCUAUCAGAGCUUCACGAUGAAAAGGAUAGCUCGUGAGGUUUAAAGCAGUGAUAGAUUAAAGUUGGAGAUUCACGAUGCUUCUGAUCUUAAAUAGAUCAGUUGAUGAAAGUCUUAAGAAGGCUGCCUCUGACAUGAUCUAGAGGACUUGGUGGUUCAGUUGAUCUUCUAGAUCAUUAUAAACUUAGGAAACAUCUUGAUUUUUAUGCAAGUGAUCAUUAUCAUCCUCUAUAUCUGAGACAGAAUAUCAUAGGAGUGUGGUGGGGGACAGAGAAAUGAGGAGAGGUGCAGGGAUGGAACUAGAUCAGCUGUCGAAAAGCUCUUCCUAUGAGGGACACAGAUGUGUACACUUGCAUUCCUUUUGUCUUGGAUAUACUCACGGAUACUUUUCGGCUCAGAGAAACAUCAUCUAUUGAUCUUCCAUUGGCAGGUAUAGGGUUGCCUUCAGGUGCAUCAAAGCAUAAAAAGAACAAACACAAAGAUAGGUCAAGGAAACUGGAUCCUAACAGUUGAAUUGAUAAGGAUCACACGCCAAUCAGGGAUAACAAUAAGGAGAAAAAUGGGAGUAAGAAGCAGAAUCAUGGUCCGGAUAUUUUUCUGAGACAAAUUUAUGCUUCUUGCCAUGAAUAGUUGCUUAUAUUUUGUCAUGAUCAAUUCUACAUCUAAUAUUUCAAAUGGAACUCUUUCAGCAUAAAAUGUGAAGUAUAUUUCAAAUGGAACUAUUUCAGCAUAAAAUGUGAUGUGUUGAAGUUGUUUUGCAGUUAGUGAUACAUAGGGUUGAGAAUUGGGAUAUUUAUUGCAAUAAUUUCUGCUAUGGCUUUUUAGGUUAAUAAUGUUAUCCUUUCAUGAAUCAGAUAACUAACAGAGAUAUUUCUAGAGCUUAGAUUUGUAUUGAAGUCAAGUUGAUAUGUUUUUA
Long non-coding RNA from Solanum pennellii, 3732 nucleotides. RefSeq lists it as uncharacterized. NCBI's taxonomy places the organism in Eukaryota, Viridiplantae, Streptophyta, Magnoliopsida, Solanales, Solanaceae. The transcript has 7 exons. The record is from RefSeq and is a predicted model, not a curated record.